AACGAACGCUGGCGGCAUGCCUAACACAUGCAAGUCGAACGAGACCUUCGGGUCUAGUGGCGCACGGGUGCGUAACGCGUGGGAACCUGCCCUUAGGUUCGGAAUAACUCCCCGAAAGGGGUGCUAAUACCGGAUAAUGUCUUCGGACCAAAGAUUUAUCGCCUUUGGAUGGGCCCGCGUUGGAUUAGCUAGUUGGUAGGGUAAAAGCCUACCAAGGCGACGAUCCAUAGCUGGUCUGAGAGAUGAUCAGCCACACUGGGACUGAGACACGGCCCAGACUCCUACGGGAGGCAGCAGUGGGGAAUAUUGGACAAUGGGCGAAAGCCUGAUCCAGCAAUGCCGCGUGAGUGAUGAAGGCCUUAGGGUUGUAAAGCUCUUUUACCCGGGAUGAUAAUGACAGUACCGGGAGAAUAAGCUCCGGCUAACUCCGUG
This 432-nucleotide ribosomal RNA is filed under the name uncultured bacterium. RNAcentral describes it as "partial 16S ribosomal RNA". It matches the Rfam family "Bacterial small subunit ribosomal RNA", at positions 29 to 507 of the family's 1533-position model. The record is from RNAcentral.